This 460-nucleotide ribosomal RNA is filed under the name Burkholderia mallei. RNAcentral describes it as "bacterial SSU rRNA". It matches the Rfam family "Bacterial small subunit ribosomal RNA", at positions 19 to 474 of the family's 1533-position model. The record is from RNAcentral. Lineage: Bacteria; Pseudomonadati; Pseudomonadota; Betaproteobacteria; Burkholderiales; Burkholderiaceae.
CUGUCUGAGAUUGAACGCUGGCGGCAUGCCUUACACAUGCAAGUCGAACGGCAGCACGGGCUUCGGCCUGGUGGCGAGUGGUGAACGGGUGAGUAAUACAUCGGAACAUGUCCUGUAGUGGGGGAUAGCCCGGCGAAAGCCGGAUUAAUACCGCAUACGAUCUGAGGAUGAAAGCGGGGGACCUUCGGGCCUCGCGCUAUAGGGUUGGCCGAUGGCUGAUUAGCUAGUUGGUGGGGUAAAGGCCUACCAAGGCGACGAUCAGUAGCUGGUCUGAGAGGACGACCAGCCACACUGGGACUGAGACACGGCCCAGACUCCUACGGGAGGCAGCAGUGGGGAAUUUUGGACAAUGGGCGCAAGCCUGAUCCAGCAAUGCCGCGUGUGUGAAGAAGGCCUUCGGGUUGUAAAGCACUUUUGUCCGGAAAGAAAUCAUUCUGGCUAAUACCCGGAGUGGAUGACG